This 253-nucleotide ribosomal RNA is filed under the name uncultured bacterium. RNAcentral's name for it is "partial 16S ribosomal RNA". It matches the Rfam family "Bacterial small subunit ribosomal RNA", at positions 524 to 776 of the family's 1533-position model. The record is from RNAcentral.
UACAGAGGUCCCGAGCGUUGCUCGGAUUCACUGGGCGUAAAGGGCGCGUAGGCGGUCGGGUAAGUCUGAUGUGAAAUCUCACAGCUUAACUGUGAAACUGCAUUGGAUACUAUUCGGCUUGAGAGUUGGAGGGGGGACUGGAAUUCUUGGUGUAGCAGUGAAAUGCGUAGAUAUCAAGAGGAACACCAGUGGCGAAGGCGAGUCCCUGGACAGCUUCUGACGCUGAGGCACGAAAGCUAGGGGAGCAAACAGG